GAUGAAGAACGCAGCGAAAUGCGAUAAGUAAUGUGAAUUGCAGAAUUCAGUGAAUCAUCGAAUCUUUGAACGCACAUUGCGCCCGCCAGCAUUCUGGCGGGCAUGUCUGUUCGAGCGUCAUUUCAACCCUCAAGCUCUGCUUGGUGUUGGGGCCCUACGGUUGACGUAGGCCCUUAAAGGUAGUGGCGGACCCUCUCGGAGCCUCCUUUGCGUAGUAACUAACGUCUCGCAUUGGGAUUCGGAGGGACUCUUGCCGUAAAACCCCCAAAUUUUCUAAUGGUUGACCUCGGAUCAGGUAGGAAUACCCGCUGAACUUAAGCAUAUCAAUAAGCGGAGGA
This 338-nucleotide unclassified non-coding RNA is filed under the name soil metagenome. RNAcentral's name for it is "partial contains 5.8S ribosomal RNA, internal transcribed spacer 2, and large subunit ribosomal RNA". The stretch from base 1 to 120 matches the Rfam family "5.8S ribosomal RNA", at positions 35 to 154 of the family's 154-position model. The record is from RNAcentral.